AUUGAACGCUGGCGGCAGGCCUAACACAUGCAAGUCGAGCGGAUGAAGGGAGCUUGCUCCUGGAUUCAGCGGCGGACGGGUGAGUAAUGCCUAGGAAUCUGCCUGGUAGUGGGGGAUAACGUCCGGAAACGGGCGCUAAUACCGCAUACGUCCUGAGGGAGAAAGUGGGGGAUCUUCGGACCUCACGCUAUCAGAUGAGCCUAGGUCGGAUUAGCUAGUUGGUGGGGUAAAGGCCUACCAAGGCGACGAUCCGUAACUGGUCUGAGAGGAUGAUCAGUCACACUGGAACUGAGAUACGGUCCAGACUCCUACGGGAGGCAGCAGUGGGGAAUAUUGGACAAUGGGGGAAAGCCUUAUCCAGCCAUGCCGCGUGUGUGAAGAAGGUCUUCGGAUUGUAAAGCACUUUAAGUUGGGAGGAAGGGCAGUAAGUUAAUACCUUGCUGUUUUGACGUUACCAACAGAAUAAGCACCGGCUAACUUCGUG
RNAcentral lists this ribosomal RNA (484 nucleotides) under uncultured bacterium. Its description in RNAcentral is "partial 16S ribosomal RNA". It matches the Rfam family "Bacterial small subunit ribosomal RNA", at positions 30 to 507 of the family's 1533-position model. The record is from RNAcentral.